AUUGAACGCUGGCGGCAGGCCUAACACAUGCAAGUCGAACGAGUGGCGGACGGGUGAGUAAUGGCUGGGAAACUGCCUGAUGGAGGGGGAUAACUACUGGAAACGGUAGCUAAUACCGCAUACCCUCGGAUGUGCCCAGAUGGGAUUAGCUAGUCGGUGGGGGAAAGGCGCACCUAGGCGACGAUCCCUACCUGGUCUGGGAGGAUGACCAGCCACAGUGGAAAUGAGACACGGUCCAGAUGCCUACGGGAGGCAGCAGUGGGGCAUAUUGCGCAAUGGGCGAAAGCCUGAUGCAGCCAUGCCGCGUGUAUGAAGAAGGUCUUCGGGUUUGAAAGUACUUUUAGCGGGGAGGCGUUACCCGCAGAAGAAGCACCGGCUAACUCCGUGCCAGCAGCCGCGGUAAUUC
This 406-nucleotide ribosomal RNA is filed under the name uncultured bacterium. RNAcentral's name for it is "partial 16S ribosomal RNA". It matches the Rfam family "Bacterial small subunit ribosomal RNA", at positions 30 to 526 of the family's 1533-position model. The record is from RNAcentral.